CUUGGGUCAACCGCUUCCGUCUCCACAGCAACGGAGUUUCAGAGCGCGCGGCAGCUUGAGGGCGGGGUUCACAGUCCCCUGGUCAAAUGUGAGGACUUUUCAGCAGGAAAGCUGCACAAGUGGAGGAGCGCAGGACGAGGCUGGCCUCGGCAGUCCUCCAUGGAUAUGCUAUGUAGGUUAAUGGGGCAGGUUGACUUGGAGGGAUCCCCCUCACACCUCUCCUCCAGAAACUUUCUGCACCUCCUCUUUCCUGCUGUCAUUCCAAUGGAUUCAAACAGAAAAAUCAAACAGAAGUCGGAUGGAAAACUCUGGAAAAUCCAAGAAGGGAGCUAG
Molecule: long non-coding RNA, 333 nt
Filed under: Macaca mulatta (Rhesus monkey)
Lineage: Eukaryota; Metazoa; Chordata; Mammalia; Primates; Cercopithecidae
Description: lncRNA (ENSMMUG00000065163.1)
Source: RNAcentral